CUACGGGGGGCUGCAGUGGGGAAUAUUGCACAAUGGGCGCAAGCCUGAUGCAGCCAUGCCGCGUGUAUGAAGAAGGCCUUCGGGUUGUAAAGUACUUUCAGCGGGGAGGAAGGGAGUAAAGUUAAUACCUUUGCUCAUUGACGGUACCUGCAGAAGAAGCACCGGCUAACUCCGUGCCAGCAGCCGCGGUAAUACGGAGGUUGCAAGCGUUAACGGAAUUAUUGGGCGUAAAGCGCACGCAGGCGGUUUGUUAAGUCAGAUGUGAAAUCCCCGGGCUCAACCUGGGAACUGCAUCUGAUACUGGCAAGCUGGAGUCUCGUAGAGGGAGGUAGAAUUCCAGGUGUAGCGGUGAAAUGCGUAGAGAUCUGGAGGAACACCGGUGGCGAAGGCGGCCCCCUGGACGAAGACUGACGCUCAGGUGCGAAAGCGUGGGGAGCAAACAGGAUUAGAUACCCUCGUAGUC
RNAcentral lists this ribosomal RNA (463 nucleotides) under uncultured bacterium. Its description in RNAcentral is "partial 16S ribosomal RNA". It matches the Rfam family "Bacterial small subunit ribosomal RNA", at positions 339 to 795 of the family's 1533-position model. The record is from RNAcentral.